AGUGAACGCUGGCGGUAGGCCUAACACAUGCAAGUCGAACGGCAGCAUAGUAUGAGUUUGCUUUUCCGGUUGGCUAUUGGCGGACGGGUAAGGCAUACAUCGGAUUCUACUUUUUCUUGGGGUAUAACGUAGGUAAACUUACCCUAAUCCCUCAUAAGACCUACGGGUGAAAUCAGUGGUUCUUCGCUCCUUGCCCGAUUGAAUGAGCCGAUGUCGGAUUAGCUGGUUGGCGGGGUAAAGGCCCACCAAGGCGACGUCUCGUAGCUGGUCUGAGAGGAUGAUCAGCCACAAUGGAACUGAGACACGGUCCAGACUCCUACGGGAGGCAGAAGUGGGGAAUAUUGGACAAUGGGCGCAAGCCUGAUCCAGCCAUACCGCGUGGGUGAUGAAGGCCUUCGGGUUGUAAAGCCCUUUUGUUGGGAAAGAAAAGCAGCAGGUUAAUACCCCGCUGUUCUGACGGUACCCAAAGAAUAAGCACCGGCUAACUUCGUG
RNAcentral lists this ribosomal RNA (492 nucleotides) under uncultured bacterium. RNAcentral describes it as "partial 16S ribosomal RNA". It matches the Rfam family "Bacterial small subunit ribosomal RNA", at positions 29 to 507 of the family's 1533-position model. The record is from RNAcentral.